CACGUAGGCGGGUAUUUAAGUCAGGGGUGAAAUCCCAGAGCUCAACUCUGGAACUGCCUUUGAUACUGGGUACCUAGAGUAUGGAAGAGGUAAGUGGAAUUCCGAGUGUAGAGGUGAAAUUCGUAGAUAUUCGGAGGAACACCAGUGGCGAAGGCGGCUUACUGGUCCAUUACUGACGCUGGGGUGCGAAAGCGUGGGGAGCAAACAA
This 208-nucleotide ribosomal RNA is filed under the name uncultured bacterium. RNAcentral's name for it is "partial 16S ribosomal RNA". It matches the Rfam family "Bacterial small subunit ribosomal RNA", at positions 568 to 775 of the family's 1533-position model. The record is from RNAcentral.